CAUCGAUCAGCAAGUCAAGAAUGUUUAUGACCAGAAGCUCAAUUCGCCUGGGAUGGCAAACUCUAGCCAACUCUUCUUAAGGCCACUAAAAGAUUGAUCAGCUUACCAGGAGGUGACAGGCAGCGUACAAAGUAUGACCACCAGUACGUACCUAGUGUACCUUGAUGUUGAGGAAAAGAGACUUUGUAGUUUACAUUGCAAACAUUGAUUAUUAUUAAUUUAUUGUACAUAUAUGUAGGCUUAAUUAUAUAAUUAUACUAUA
Halichondria panicea is the source of this 262-nucleotide long non-coding RNA. RefSeq lists it as uncharacterized. The transcript has 2 exons. The record is from RefSeq and is a predicted model, not a curated record. Lineage: Eukaryota; Metazoa; Porifera; Demospongiae; Suberitida; Halichondriidae.